UCUGCCCGCUGGCGGCGUGCCUAAUACAUGCAAGUCGAGCGAACAGACGAGGAGCUUGCUCCUCUGACGUUAGCGGCGGACGGGUGAGUAACACGUGGAUAACCUACCUAUAAGACUGGGAUAACUUCGGGAAACCGGAGCUAAGACCGGAUAAUAUAUUGAACCGCAUGGUUCAAUAGUGAAAGACGGUUUUGCUGUCACUUAUAGAUGGAUCCGCGCCGCAUUAGCUAGUUGGUAAGGUAACGGCUUACCAAGGCAACGAUGCGUAGCCGACCUGAGAGGGUGAUCGGCCACACUGGAACUGAGACACGGUCCAGACUCCUACGGGAGGCAGCAGUAGGGAAUCUUCCGCAAUGGGCGAAAGCCUGACGGAGCAACGCCGCGUGAGUGAUGAAGGUCUUCGGAUCGUAAAACUCUGUUAUUAGGGAAGAACAAAUGUGUAAGUAACUAUGCACGUCUUGACGGUACCUAAUCAGAAAGCCACGGCUAACUACGUG
This 497-nucleotide ribosomal RNA is filed under the name uncultured bacterium. Its description in RNAcentral is "partial 16S ribosomal RNA". It matches the Rfam family "Bacterial small subunit ribosomal RNA", at positions 34 to 507 of the family's 1533-position model. The record is from RNAcentral.